This is a microRNA precursor of Sorghum bicolor (sorghum), 101 nucleotides long. It matches the Rfam family "MIR5565 microRNA precursor family". The record is from Rfam. Lineage: Eukaryota; Viridiplantae; Streptophyta; Magnoliopsida; Poales; Poaceae.
GUUGUCGGAUUCAUUUAAAUCCAUGUGUGUUGGUGUGGAUUGGGGUGAAAUUUAGUUACUCCAAUCCAUCUCAACACAUGUGGAUUGAUGUGAAUCCGACU